CCUACGGGAGGCAGCAGUGAGGAAUAUUGGUCAAUGGUCGGGAGACUGAACCAGCCAAGCCGCGUGAGGGAUGAAGGUACAGAGUAUCGUAAACCUCUUUUGUCAGGGAACAAAGGCGGGGACGUGUCCCCGGAUGAGUGUACCUGAAGCAAAAGCAUCGGCUAACUCCGUGCCAGCAGCCGCGGUAAUACGGAGGAUGCGAGCGUUAUCCGGAUUUAUUGGGUUUAAAGGGUGGGCAGGCGGUCUGUUAAGUCAGCGGUCAAAGCCCGGGGCUCAACCCCGGCCCGCCGUUGAAACUGGCAGUCUCGAGUUGGAGAGAAGUAUGCGGAAUGCGCGGUGUAGCGGUGAAAGGCAUAGAUAUCGCGCAGAACUCCGAUUGCGAAGGCAGCAUGCCGGCUCCACACUGACGCUGAGGCACGAAAGCGUGGGUAUCGAACAGGAUUAGAUACCCUUGUAGUC
RNAcentral lists this ribosomal RNA (459 nucleotides) under uncultured bacterium. RNAcentral describes it as "partial 16S ribosomal RNA". It matches the Rfam family "Bacterial small subunit ribosomal RNA", at positions 338 to 795 of the family's 1533-position model. The record is from RNAcentral.